GACGAACGCUGGCGGCGCGCUUAACACAUGCAAGUCGAACGAUGAAGCCUAGCUUGCUAGGUGGAUUAGUGGCGAACGGGUGAGUAAUACGUGAGUGACCUACCUUUGACUCUGGGAUAAGCCUGGGAAACUGGGUCUAAUACCGGAUACGACCAAUCUCCGCAUGGGGUGUUGGUGGAAAGCGUUAUGGAGUGGUUUUAGAUGGGCUCACGGCCUAUCAGCUUGUUGGUGAGGUAAUGGCUUACCAAGGCGACGACGGGUAGCCGGCCUGAGAGGGUGACCGGCCACACUGGGACUGAGACACGGCCCAGACUCCUACGGGAGGCAGCAGUGGGGAAUAUUGCACAAUGGGCGCAAGCCUGAUGCAGCGACGCCGCGUGAGGGAUGACGGCCUUCGGGUUGUAAACCUCUGUUAGCAUCGAAGAAGCGAAAGUGACGGUAGGUGCAGAGAAAGCGCCGGCUAACUAUGUGCCAGCAGCCGCGGUAAUACGUAGGGCGCGAGCGUUGUCCGGAAUUAUUGGGCGUAAAGAGCUUGUAGGCGGUUGGUCGCGUCUGCUGUGAAAGGCUGGGCUUAACCCUGGUUUUGCAGUGGGUACGGGCUAACUAGAGUGCAGUAGGGGAGACUGGAAUUCCUGGUGUAGCGGUGGAAUGCGCAGAUAUCAGGAGGAACACCGAUGGCGAAGGCAGGUCUCUGGGCUGUAACUGACGCUGAGAAGCGAAAGCAUGGGGAGCGAACAGGAUUAGAUACCCUGGUAGUCCAUGCCGUAAACGUUGGGCACUAGGUGUGGGGGACAUUCCACGUUUUCCGCGCCGUAGCUAACGCAUUAAGUGCCCCGCCUGGGGAGUACGGCCGCAAGGCUAAAACUCAAAGAAAUUGACGGGGGCCCGCACAAGCGGCGGAGCAUGCGGAUUAAUUCGAUGCAACGCGAAGAACCUUACCAAGGCUUGACAUAUACUGGACUGCGUCAGAGAUGGCGUUUCCCUUCGGGGCUGGUAUACAGGUGGUGCAUGGUUGUCGUCAGCUCGUGUCGUGAGAUGUUGGGUUAAGUCCCGCAACGAGCGCAACCCUCGUUCUAUGUUGCCAGCACGUGAUGGUGGGGACUCAUAGGAGACUGCCGGGGUUAACUCGGAGGAAGGUGGGGAUGACGUCAAAUCAUCAUGCCCCUUAUGUCUUGGGCUUCACGCAUGCUACAAUGGCCGGUACAGAGGGUUGCGAUACUGUGAGGUGGAGCUAAUCCCUAAAAGCCGGUCUCAGUUCGGAUUGGGGUCUGCAACUCGACCCCAUGAAGUCGGAGUCGCUAGUAAUCGCAGAUCAGCAACGCUGCGGUGAAUACGUUCCCGGGCCU
Molecule: ribosomal RNA, 1346 nt
Filed under: uncultured bacterium
Lineage: Bacteria
Description: bacterial SSU rRNA
Rfam family: Bacterial small subunit ribosomal RNA
Source: RNAcentral